GACGAACGCUGGCGGCGUGCUUAACACAUGCAAGUCGUACGGUAAGGCCCUUUUGGGGGUACUCGAGUGGCGAACGGGUUGGUAACACGUGAGUAACCUGCCCACAACUUUGGGAUAACGCUAGGAAACUGGUGCUAAUACUGGCUACGUGCCCCUGCUGCAUUGUGGGGGUUGGAAAGCUCCGGCUGUUGUGGAUGGACUCGCGGCCUAUCAGCUUGUUGGUGGGGUAGUGGCCUACCAAGGCGGCGAAGGGUAGCCGGCCUGAGAGGGUGACCGGCCACAGUGGGACUGAGAGACGGCCCAGAUGCCUACAAGAAGAAGCAGUGGGGAAUAUUGGACAAUAGGGGCAAGACUGAUGCAGCAGGGCAGCGUGCGGGAAAACGGACUUCGGGUGGUGAGCCGCGUUGAGCAGGGACGAAGCUAUUUGUGAAGGUACAUGCAGAAGAAGCACAGGAUAACUACGUG
Molecule: ribosomal RNA, 465 nt
Filed under: uncultured bacterium
Lineage: Bacteria
Description: partial 16S ribosomal RNA
Rfam family: Bacterial small subunit ribosomal RNA
Source: RNAcentral